CCUACGGGAGGCUGCAGUGGGGAAUAUUGGACAAUGGGGGAAACCCUGAUCCAGCGACGCCGCGUGAGUGAAGAAGUAUUUCGGUACGUAAAGCUCUAUCAGCAGGAAAGAAAAUGACGGUACCUGACUAAGAAGCCCCGGCUAACUACGUGCCAGCAGCCGCGGUAAUACGUAGGGGGCAAGAGUUAUCCGGAUUUACUGGGUGGAAAGGGAGCGUAGACGGCAGCGCAAGUCUGGAGGGAAAUGCCGGGGCCCAACCCCGGAACUGCUCUGGAAACUGGGAAGCUGGAGUGUAGGAGAGGUAAGCAGAAUUCCUGGUGUAGCGGUGAAAUGCGUAGAUAUCAGGAGGAACACCGGCGGCGAAGGCGGCUUACUGGACUGUAACUGACGUUGAGGCUCGAAGGCGUGGGGAGCAAACAGGAUUAGAUACCCCAGUAGUC
RNAcentral lists this ribosomal RNA (440 nucleotides) under uncultured bacterium. Its description in RNAcentral is "partial 16S ribosomal RNA". It matches the Rfam family "Bacterial small subunit ribosomal RNA", at positions 338 to 795 of the family's 1533-position model. The record is from RNAcentral.